RNAcentral lists this ribosomal RNA (427 nucleotides) under uncultured bacterium. RNAcentral's name for it is "partial 16S ribosomal RNA". It matches the Rfam family "Bacterial small subunit ribosomal RNA", at positions 355 to 774 of the family's 1533-position model. The record is from RNAcentral.
UGGGGAAUAUUGCACAAUGGGCGCAAGCCUGAUGCAGCCAUGCCGCGUGUAUGAAGAAGGCCUUCGGGUUGUAAAGUACUUUCAGCGGGGAGGAAGGCGAUAAGGUUAAUAACCUUGUCGAUUGACGUUACCCGCAGAAGAAGCACCGGCUAACUCCGUGCCAGCAGCCGCGGUAAUACGGAGGGUGCAAGCGUUAAUCGGAAUUACUGGGCGUAAAGCGCACGCAGGCGGUUUGUCAAGUCGGAUGUGAAAUCCCCGGGCUCAACCUGGGAACUGCAUUCGAAACUGGCAGGCUAGAGUCUUGUAGAGGGGGGUAGAAUUCCAGGUGUAGCGGUGAAAUGCGUAGAGAUCUGGAGGAAUACCGGUGGCGAAGGCGGCCCACUGGACAAAGACUGACGCUCAGGUGCGAAAGCGUGGGGAGCAAACA